GAUGAACGCUGGCGGCGUGCUUAACACAUGCAAGUCGAACGAAACACCUUAUUUGAUUUUCUUCGGAACUGAAGAUUUGGUGAUUGAGUGGCGGACGGGUGAGUAACGCGUGGGUAACCUGCCCUGUACAGGGGGAUAACAGUCAGAAAUGACUGCUAAUACCGCAUAAGACCACAGCACCGCAUGGUGCAGGGGUAAAAACUCCGGUGGUACAGGAUGGACCCGCGUCUGAUUAGCUGGUUGGUGAGGUAACGGCUCACCAAGGCGACGAUCAGUAGCCGGCUUGAGAGAGUGAACGGCCACAUUGGGACUGCGACACGGCCCAAACUCCUACGGGAGGCAGCAGUGGGGAAUAUUGCACAAUGGGGGAAACCCUGAUGCAGCGACGCCGCGUGAGUGAAGAAGUAUUUCGGUAUGUAAAGCUCUAUCAGCAGGGAAGAAAAUGACGGUACCUGACUAAGAAGCCCCGGCUAACUACGUG
This 481-nucleotide ribosomal RNA is filed under the name uncultured bacterium. RNAcentral's name for it is "partial 16S ribosomal RNA". It matches the Rfam family "Bacterial small subunit ribosomal RNA", at positions 28 to 507 of the family's 1533-position model. The record is from RNAcentral.